This is a transfer RNA of Ovis aries (sheep), 73 nucleotides long. It matches the Rfam family "tRNA". From Rfam's summary of the family: Transfer RNA (tRNA) molecules are approximately 80 nucleotides in length. Their secondary structure includes four short double-helical elements and three loops (D, anti-codon, and T loops). Lineage: Eukaryota; Metazoa; Chordata; Mammalia; Artiodactyla; Bovidae. The record is from Rfam.
UCCUUGGUGGUCUGGUGGAUAAGACUCUGAACUCCAAAUGCAGGGGGCACAGGUUCGAUCCCUGGUCAGGGAG